Molecule: ribosomal RNA, 789 nt
Filed under: uncultured fungus
Lineage: Eukaryota; Fungi
Description: eukaryotic LSU rRNA
Rfam family: Eukaryotic large subunit ribosomal RNA
Source: RNAcentral
CCCGCUGAACUUAAGCAUAUCAAUAAGCGGAGGAAAAGAAACUAACAAGGAUUCCCCUAGUAACUGCGAGUGAAGCGGGAAGAGCUCAAAUUUAAAAUCUGAGGGUCCCUGUGGCCAUCCGAGUUGUAAUCUAGAGAAGUGCUAUCCGCGCUGGACCGUGUACAAGUCUCCUGGAACGGAGCGUCACAGAGGGUGAGAAUCCCGUCUUUGACACGGACUACCAGGGCUUAUGUGAUGUGCUCUCAAAGAGUCGAGUUGUUUGGGAAUGCAGCUCUAAAUGGGUGGUAAAUUCCAUCUAAAGCUAAAUAUUGGCGAGAGACCGAUAGCGAACAAGUACCGUGAGGGAAAGAUGAAAAGAACUUUGGAAAGAGAGUUAAACAGUACGUGAAAUUGUUGAAAGGGAAACGUUUGACACCAGUUAUGCGGGUGGAAAAUCAGUCUUUUGCAAUGGGGAGUUGUGGGCGUUCAGACCGCAAGGCUGGCGUUUGCUUCAUCUUUGUUGUAAGUGAUGCACUUUUUCAUUUGCAGGUCAACAUCAGUUUGCUUUGCUGGACAAAACCCCAAGGGAAGGUGGCAGCUUAGGCUGUGUUAUAGCCCUGGGGCGAUACAGUGGAGUGGACUGAGGUUUCGCAGUGUGUGCUCUCGGGCAAGGCUGACUGGGUGCUAUGGGAUCGUUCGGCGUACAAUGCAUGCAUUUUGCGUCGUGUCUUUUUCAUACUCGCUCAACUCGGCUCUUCCACACUUAGGAUGUUGACUUAAUGGUUUUAAACGACCCGUCUUGAAACACGG